AACGAACGCUGGCGGCAUGCCUAACAUAUGCAAGUCGAACGAAGCCUUCGGGCUUAGUGGCGCACGGGUGCGUAACGCGUGGGAAUCUGCCCUUUGGUUCGGAAUAACAGUUGGAAACGACUGCUAAUACCGGAUGAUGACGAAGGUCCAAAGAUUUAUCGCCAGAGGAUGAGCCCGCGUAGGAUUAGCUAGUUGGUGUGGUAAAGGCGCACCAAGGCGACGAUCCUUAGCUGGUCUGAGAGGAUGAUCAGCCACACUGGGACUGAGACACGGCCCAGACUCCUACGGGAGGCAGCAGUGGGGAAUAUUGGACAAUGGGCGAAAGCCUGAUCCAGCAAUGCCGCGUGAGUGAUGAAGGCCCUAGGGUUGUAAAGCUCUUUUACCCGGGAUGAUAAUGACAGUACCGGGAGAAUAAGCCCCGGCUAACUCCGUGCCAGCAGCCGCCGUAA
RNAcentral lists this ribosomal RNA (449 nucleotides) under uncultured bacterium. RNAcentral's name for it is "partial 16S ribosomal RNA". It matches the Rfam family "Bacterial small subunit ribosomal RNA", at positions 29 to 523 of the family's 1533-position model. The record is from RNAcentral.